GUCUACAGCCAUGCCACCCUGAACAUGCCCAAUCUCGUCUGAUCUUGGAAGCUAAGCAGGGUUGGGCCUGGUUAUUACUUGGAUGGGAGACAACCUAGGAAUAUCAAGUGCUGUAGGCA
This 119-nucleotide ribosomal RNA is filed under the name Pteropus alecto (black flying fox). Lineage: Eukaryota; Metazoa; Chordata; Mammalia; Chiroptera; Pteropodidae. The record is from RNAcentral.